CUGACCAGCCANUAGCGUGCAGGAUGACGGCCCUAUGGGUUGUAAACUGCUUUUAUACAGGGAUAAAGUGAGGGACGUGUCCCUUUUUGUAGGUACUGUAUGAAUAAGGACCGGCUAAUUCCGUG
This 125-nucleotide ribosomal RNA is filed under the name uncultured bacterium. RNAcentral's name for it is "partial 16S ribosomal RNA". It matches the Rfam family "Bacterial small subunit ribosomal RNA", at positions 383 to 507 of the family's 1533-position model. The record is from RNAcentral.